UGGGAACGUACCCUUUGGUUCGGAACAACUCCGGGAAACUGGAACUAAUACCGAAUAAGCCCUACGGGGGAAAGAUUUAUCGCCGAAGGAUCGGCCCGCGUCGGAUUAGCUAGUUGGUGGGGUAAAAGCCUACCAAGGCAACGAUCCGUAGCUGGUCUGAGAGGAUGACCAGCCACACUGGGACUGAGACACGGCCCAGACUCCGUACGGGAGGCAG
RNAcentral lists this ribosomal RNA (217 nucleotides) under uncultured bacterium. RNAcentral describes it as "partial 16S ribosomal RNA". It matches the Rfam family "Bacterial small subunit ribosomal RNA", at positions 118 to 351 of the family's 1533-position model. The record is from RNAcentral.